Molecule: ribosomal RNA, 1096 nt
Filed under: Staphylococcus aureus
Lineage: Bacteria; Bacillati; Bacillota; Bacilli; Caryophanales; Staphylococcaceae
Description: bacterial SSU rRNA
Rfam family: Bacterial small subunit ribosomal RNA
Source: RNAcentral
AGAGUUUGAUCCUGGCUCAGGAUGAACGCUGGCGGCGUGCCUAAUACAUGCAAGUCGAGCGAACGGACGAGAAGCUUGCUUCUCUGAUGUUAGCGGCGGACGGGUGAGUAACACGUGGAUAACCUACCUAUAAGACUGGGAUAACUUCGGGAAACCGGAGCUAAUACCGGAUAAUAUUUUGAACCGCAUGGUUCAAAAGUGAAAGACGGUCUUGCUGUCACUUAUAGAUGGAUCCGCGCUGCAUUAGCUAGUUGGUAAGGUAACGGCUUACCAAGGCAACGAUGCAUAGCCGACCUGAGAGGGUGAUCGGCCACACUGGAACUGAGACACGGUCCAGACUCCUACGGGAGGCAGCAGUAGGGAAUCUUCCGCAAUGGGCGAAAGCCUGACGGAGCAACGCCGCGUGAGUGAUGAAGGUCUUCGGAUCGUAAAACUCUGUUAUUAGGGAAGAACAUAUGUGUAAGUAACUGUGCACAUCUUGACGGUACCUAAUCAGAAAGCCACGGCUAACUACGUGCCAGCAGCCGCGGUAAUACGUAGGUGGCAAGCGUUAUCCGGAAUUAUUGGGCGUAAAGCGCGCGUAGGCGGUUUUUUAAGUCUGAUGUGAAAGCCCACGGCUCAACCGUGGAGGGUCAUUGGAAACUGGAAAACUUGAGUGCAGAAGAGGAAAGUGGAAUUCCAUGUGUAGCGGUGAAAUGCGCAGAGAUAUGGAGGAACACCAGUGGCGAAGGCGACUUUCUGGUCUGUAACUGACGCUGAUGUGCGAAAGCGUGGGGAUCAAACAGGAUUAGAUACCCUGGUAGUCCACGCCGUAAACGAUGAGUGCUAAGUGUUAGGGGGUUUCCGCCCCUUAGUGCUGCAGCUAACGCAUUAAGCACUCCGCCUGGGGAGUACGACCGCAAGGUUGAAACUCAAAGGAAUUGACGGGGACCCGCACAAGCGGUGGAGCAUGUGGUUUAAUUCGAAGCAACGCGAAGAACCUUACCAAAUCUUGACAUCCUUUGACAACUCUAGAGAUAGAGCCUUCCCCUUCGGGGGACAAAGUGACAGGUGGUGCAUGGUUGUCGUCAGCUCGUGUCGUGAGAUGUUGGGUUAA